CAGAGAUAUUCAGCUGACAAAGGAGUCAUCACCUACAGCAGCUCAGGUGCUGGACCACUCAUACCUGGCUACAUUCAGGUGUGGCCCUAAGAAGAGGAUAAGUGACCCCUUCCAAGUUAUGCCAGAUUUCUAACUUCAUGCCUUCUCUGGAUUUGAAAAGAUGUCACACACCAAUACAGAAAAUGAGUGACACUGUCUCUGACUCAGUAGAUUUGUAUAACAUCAAAAACACAGCAGACCCAGAGUGAAUAAAACUAUUCCAUCAAGCAGGUAGAAACAGGAGAAUGGGACACCUGGGUACAAGUCUGAAGCCUGUAGAAGUCUGCAGCUUUCCCUUGGAUCAAUCACACUGAAGAGACUGAAGGAAAGUAUAUCUGCUGGCCUAUGGAAGACAGUGACUCUUGAAGUGAUAACAAAUAUUUUCUUCUAAGAAAGUAGUAACAGCUCUUUCAUACAUUAAACUGCCUGUUUCAAAAGCAAUUGCAAUAAAAUUCCUAAAAUAACAUAAAGCA
Molecule: long non-coding RNA, 512 nt
Organism: Cyanistes caeruleus (blue tit)
Lineage: Eukaryota; Metazoa; Chordata; Aves; Passeriformes; Paridae
Source: Ensembl